Molecule: ribosomal RNA, 218 nt
Filed under: Campeiostachys nutans
Lineage: Eukaryota; Viridiplantae; Streptophyta; Magnoliopsida; Poales; Poaceae
Description: Elymus nutans partial small subunit ribosomal RNA
Rfam family: Eukaryotic small subunit ribosomal RNA (bases 94-218)
Source: RNAcentral
GGCCUGGCUGGACGGUCCGCCCUUCGGGUGAGUACUGUCUGUGGUCGGGUCCUACCUUCUGGCGAAGCGUCAUGGCCUUAACCGGCCGUGGCGGGGAGCCAGGACUUUUACUGUGAAAAAAUUAGAGUGUUCAAAGCAGGCCAAUUGCUUGAAUACAUUAGCAUGGAAUAAUGGAAUAGGACCUCGGUUCUAUUUUGUUGGUUUCUAGGACCGUUGUA